AGUAACGCGUGGGUAACCUGCCUUGUACUGGGGGACAACAGUUGGAAACGACUGCUAAUACCGCAUAAGCGCACAGCUUCGCAUGAAGCAGUGUGAAAAACUCCGGUGGUACAAGAUGGACCCGCGUCUGAUUAGCUGGUUGGUGAGGUAACGGCCCACCAAGGCGACGAUCAGUAGCCGGCCUGAGAGGGUGAACGGCCACAUUGGGACUGAGACACGGCCCAAACUCCUACGGGAGGCAGCAGUGGGGAAUAUUGCACAAUGGGGGAAACCCUGAUGCAGCAACGCCGCGUGAGUGAAGAAGUAUUUCGGUAUGUAAAGCUCUAU
Molecule: ribosomal RNA, 327 nt
Filed under: uncultured bacterium
Lineage: Bacteria
Description: bacterial SSU rRNA
Rfam family: Bacterial small subunit ribosomal RNA
Source: RNAcentral